AUGAGGGAAGAAUAUAAUAAUAGGGAAUGGCUACGAUUCAGUCACCUAAGAUUCAGUUCUGUUCAAUUUUUGUUCAAAGAAAAUACUUAAAAACUUUUUUUUAAUUUGUUUUAAGGAACCUCUAAUAUAAAAAAAAUUAAUGUCUUUUUGCGGCCCUCAAAAUCACGUUUAUAUACAUUUUUUAAUUAUAUAAAAAAAAAUCCAAUUUUGAACGGAUUCACCAUAAAAUAAAAUAAAAUAUUAAAACGUGAUUUCAAAAGCUACAAAAAGGUAGUGAGAUGUAUUUUAGUUUAUUUUUAGGUUUCGUUUAAACGCUUAAUAUUGUUUAAAAAAAGUUACAUUUAAACGCUUAAUACGAGUUAUCAUCAUAAACGUUACCAAUUAUAUUGGUCAAGUAAUUUGAUUCAAGUAGUUAAUUAAUAAGCUCUAUUAAAGAAGAAUGAUUUAGAAGAAUCUAAGCUUCGUAUUAUGGAAGAAUAAUUAUAGAUCAGAUUUUACGUAACUCUCGAGUGAACUUCAGAUUACUAGAGUUUCCUUCUUAUAUGAACAAAAGAGUUAACAUAAUAUUUUUUUUACAAUUAUAAUGAAUAUUAUUGAAUUAUUCUAAUCCAAAUGUGAUGUUUUUUUUCCUAGGUCUUUUCCCAUUCAUGUCUUCUUCUUGUUAACAGUACUUUGUCUCAAAUGAUUUGCUUGGCAAUAGAAUAAGCAAGGGGUAAUUUGGUUAGAUGAAACAAUUAGCAAUUAUGGAUGACUAUUGGUGACUUGCAAGCAAAUAUACAAUGAUUUACUUUUGUCUAGAUCAUAGCAAUCGUUUCAAAACAGAAUAGCUAGAAGACCGUGGAAUUUGAAGCUACGUUAGUCUCUCUUUAUACAAGUUCAUGAAUAUAUAUCAUGGAUAGAUCUCCCCCCGUCAAGUAAGUUAAUUGUAAACGAAUACGUUUUUGAAUUUUAAACGAUGACUAUUGACUAAGAGUAAGAACUAAGAACACAAGUUGGAAUUUUAAACAAUGUCUACACUGCAAUUGAGUACUUGGAAUUGGAUCUCACACCAUCCUAUAAAAUGUUACGAGUCAAAAAUUUCUUGACGACUU
This 1091-nucleotide long non-coding RNA is filed under the name Medicago truncatula (barrel medic). RNAcentral describes it as "lncRNA gene18431". Lineage: Eukaryota; Viridiplantae; Streptophyta; Magnoliopsida; Fabales; Fabaceae. The record is from RNAcentral.